UUUUUGGGUCACACUGCCGAGAAAAGCUUCUAGUUAGAAAACAACGGCCCGUACCGUAAACCGACACAGGUAGUCGAGGAGAGUAUCCUAAGGUGUGUGAGAGAACUCUCGUUAAGGAACUCGGCAAAAUGACCCCGUAACUUCGGGAGAAGGGGUGCUGUUCGCAAGAACAGCCGCAGUGAAUAGGCCCAAGCGACUGUUUAUCAAAAACACAGGUCUCUGCAAAAUCGAAAGAUGAAGUAUAGGGGCUGACGCCUGCCCGGUGCUGGAAGGUUAAGAGGAGUGCUUAGCGCAAGCGAAGGUACGAAUUGAAGCCCCAGUAAACGGCGGCCGUAACGAUAACGGUCCUAAGGUAGCGAAAUUCCUUGUCGGGUAAGUUCCGACCCGCACGAAAGGCGUAACGAUUUGGGCACUGUCUCAACGAGAGACUCGGUGAAAUUUUAGUACCUGUGAAGAUGCAGGUUACCCGCGACAGGACGGAAAGACCCCAUGGAGCUUUACUGUAAUUUGAUAUUGAGUGUCUGUACCGCAUGUACAGGAUAGGUAGGAGCCGUAGAGAUCGGGACGCUAGUUUCGAUGGAGGCAAUGGUGGGAUACUACCCUUGCGUUAUGGCCACUCUAACCCGCAUCACUAAUCGUGAUGGGAGACAGUGUCAGAUGGGCAGUUUGACUGGGGCGGUCGCCUCCUAAAAGGUAACGGAGGCGCCCAAAGGUUCCCUCAGAAUGGUUGGAAAUCAUUCGUAGAGUGCAAAGGCAAAAGGGAGCUUGACUGCGAGAGCUACAACUCGAGCAGGGACGAAAGUCGGGCUUAGUGAUCCGGUGGUUCCGCAUGGAAGGGCCAUCGCUCAACGGAUAAAAGCUACCCUGGGGAUAACAGGCUUAUCUCCCCCAAGAGUCCACAUCGACGGGGAGGUUUGGCACCUCGAUGUCGGCUCGUCGCAUCCUGGGGCUGUAGUCGGUCCCAAGGGUUGGGCUGUUCGCCCAUUAAAGCGGCACGCGAGCUGGGUUCAGAACGUCGUGAGACAGUUCGGUCCCUAUCCGUCGCGGGCGUUGGAAAUUUGAGAGGAGCUGUCCUUAGUACGAGAGGACCGGGAUGGACUUACCGCUGGUGUACCAGUUGUCUCGCCAGAGGCAUCGCUGGGUAGCUAUGUAGGGAAGGGAUAAACGCUGAAAGCAUCUAAGUGUGAAGCCCACCUCAAGAUGAGAUUUCCCAUUUCUUUAAGAAAGUAAGAUCCCUGAGAGAUGAUCAGGUAGAUAGGUCAGGAGUGGAAGUGCAGCGAUGUACGGAGCGGACUGAUACUAAUCGAUCGAGGACUUAACCG
RNAcentral lists this ribosomal RNA (1322 nucleotides) under metagenome. Its description in RNAcentral is "bacterial LSU rRNA". It matches the Rfam family "Bacterial large subunit ribosomal RNA", at positions 1592 to 2925 of the family's 2925-position model. The record is from RNAcentral.